RNAcentral lists this ribosomal RNA (716 nucleotides) under uncultured Bacteroidales bacterium. RNAcentral's name for it is "bacterial SSU rRNA". It matches the Rfam family "Bacterial small subunit ribosomal RNA", at positions 30 to 736 of the family's 1533-position model. Lineage: Bacteria; Pseudomonadati; Bacteroidota; Bacteroidia; Bacteroidales. The record is from RNAcentral.
UGAACGCUAGCUACAGGCUUACACAGCAAAGUCGAGGGGCAGCAUGGUCUUAGCUUGCUAAGGCCGAUGGCGACCGGCGCACGGGUGAGUAACACGUAUCCAACCUGCCGUCUACUCUUGGACAGCCUUCUGAAAGGAAGAUUAAUACAAGAUGGCAUCAUGAGUCCGCAUGUUCACAUGAUUAAAGGUAUUCCGGUAGACGAUGGGGAUGCGUUCCAUUAGAUAGUAGGCGGGGUAACGGCCCACCUAGUCUUCGAUGGAUAGGGGUUCUGAGAGGAAGGUCCCCCACAUUGGAACUGAGACACGGUCCAAACUCCUACGGGAGGCAGCAGUGAGGAAUAUUGGUCAAUGGGCGAGAGUCUGAACCAGCCAAGUAGCGUGAAGGAUGACUGCCCUAUGGGUUGUAAACUUCUUUUAUAAAGGAAUAAAGUCGGGUAUGCAUACCCGUUUGCAUGUACUUUAUGAAUAAGGAUCGGCUAACUCCGUGCCAGCAGCCGCGGUAAUACGGAGGAUCCGAGCGUUAUCCGGAUUUAUUGGGUUUAAAGGGAGCGUAGAUGGAUGUUUAAGUCAGUUGUGAAAGUUUGCGGCUCAACCGUAAAAUUGCAGUUGAUACUGGAUAUCUUGAGUGCAGUUGAGGCAGGCGGAAUUCGUGGUGUAGCGGUGAAAUGCUUAGAUAUCACGAAGAACUCCGAUUGCGAAGGCAGCCUGCUAAGCUG